RNAcentral lists this ribosomal RNA (163 nucleotides) under Milium effusum. Its description in RNAcentral is "5.8S ribosomal RNA". It matches the Rfam family "5.8S ribosomal RNA". From Rfam's summary of the family: 5.8S ribosomal RNA (5.8S rRNA) is a component of the large subunit of the eukaryotic ribosome. It is transcribed by RNA polymerase I as part of the 45S precursor that also contains 18S and 28S rRNA. Lineage: Eukaryota; Viridiplantae; Streptophyta; Magnoliopsida; Poales; Poaceae. The record is from RNAcentral.
CACACGACUCUCGGCAACGGAUAUCUCGGCUCUCGCAUCGAUGAAGAACGUAGCGAAAUGCGAUACCUGGUGUGAAUUGCAGAAUCCCGCGAACCAUCGAGUCUUUGAACGCAAGUUGCGCCCGAGGCCAUUUGGUUGAGGGCACGCCUGCCUGGGUGUCACG